UGAAGAGGGCUUUGUCCGCCGCCGACCGACGCGACCCCUUCCCACUAAAAACGCCGCAGCAGAACAGGCUGCUCUCCUCCUUCUCCAGCAGGCCGUCGUCGGGCGACAGUGCCGUCUCACACUCACCUCGGAGAUGUUUCCAUGCUUCGACCGUCGCGGCAGCAACUCGGCGAGAAGGUUCUUCACUGAAGCUGGGAGAGCGAGUCGAGUGAGAGGGUCUCAGAGAGAGAGAGGACAACGACUCGGAGGCGCGAGGAGGAACCACAGAUGAGCGGGAAGGCAGCAGCCAGGCGACGAGUCGGCGCCAACGAUUGCCCAAGCUCUGCGGUCCUUUACAGUUUGAGGUGGUGUGGGCCAAUUAAUGUGGGAGGAAACCGGAGCACCUGAAGAAUAACUAAAUAAAAAAAUGUUUACCAGGUAAAGCUAAGUCAGCUA
Molecule: non-coding RNA, 435 nt
Organism: Petromyzon marinus (sea lamprey)
Lineage: Eukaryota; Metazoa; Chordata; Hyperoartia; Petromyzontiformes; Petromyzontidae
Source: RefSeq, a predicted model, not a curated record